GAUGAACGCUGGCGGCGUGCUUAACACAUGCAAGUCGAACGAUGAAGCCCAGCUUGCUGGGUGGAUUAGUGGCGAACGGGUGUGUAACACGUGAGUAACCUCCCCCUAACUCUUGGGUAAGCCUGGGGAACUGGGUCUAAUACCGGAUAGGAGCGUCCACCGCAUGGUGGGUGUUGGAAAGAUUUAUCGGUUUUGGAUGGACUCGCGGCCUAUCAGCUUGUUGGUGGGGUAAUGGCUCACCAAGGCGACGACGGGUAGCCGGCCUGAGAGGGUGACCGGCCACACUGGGACUGAGACACGGCCCAGACUCCUACGGGAGGCAGCAGUGGGGAAUAUUGCACAAUGGGCGGAAGCCUGAUGCAGCAACGCCGCGUGAGGGAUGACGGCCUUCGGGUUGUAAACCGCUUUCAGUAGGGAAGAAGCGAGAGUGACGGUACCGGCAGAAGAAGCACCGGCUAACUACGUG
This 466-nucleotide ribosomal RNA is filed under the name uncultured bacterium. RNAcentral describes it as "partial 16S ribosomal RNA". It matches the Rfam family "Bacterial small subunit ribosomal RNA", at positions 28 to 507 of the family's 1533-position model. The record is from RNAcentral.